RNAcentral lists this ribosomal RNA (98 nucleotides) under uncultured bacterium. RNAcentral's name for it is "partial 16S ribosomal RNA". The record is from RNAcentral.
CUUCGGUCGUAAGCCUGUCGGAAGGGAAGAAAAACGAAAUGGCUAACAUCCAUCUCGCUUGACGGUACCUUCAGAGGAAGCACCGGCUAACUACGUGC